UCCACUGUCUUCCUGUGACCUCAUUUG
RNAcentral lists this non-coding RNA (27 nucleotides) under Mus musculus (house mouse). Lineage: Eukaryota; Metazoa; Chordata; Mammalia; Rodentia; Muridae. The record is from RNAcentral.